CACGUAGGGCGCAAGCGUUGUCCGGAAUUGUUGGGCGUAAAGAGCUCGUAGGCGGUCUGUUGCGUCUGCUGUGAAAACCCGGGGCUUAACCCCUGGCUUGCAGUGGAUACGGACAGACUAGAGGUAGGUAGGGGAGAAUGGAAUUCCCGGUGUAGCGGUGAAAUGCGCAGAUAUCGGGAGGAACACCGGUGGCGAAGGCGGUUCUCUGGGCCUUACCUGACGCUGAGGAGCGAAAGCGUGGGGAGCGAACAGG
RNAcentral lists this ribosomal RNA (253 nucleotides) under uncultured bacterium. Its description in RNAcentral is "partial 16S ribosomal RNA". It matches the Rfam family "Bacterial small subunit ribosomal RNA", at positions 524 to 776 of the family's 1533-position model. The record is from RNAcentral.